This 427-nucleotide ribosomal RNA is filed under the name uncultured bacterium. RNAcentral's name for it is "bacterial SSU rRNA". It matches the Rfam family "Bacterial small subunit ribosomal RNA", at positions 355 to 774 of the family's 1533-position model. The record is from RNAcentral.
UGGGGAAUUUUGGACAAUGGGCGAAAGCCUGAUCCAGCAAUGCCGCGUGUGUGAAGAAGGCCUUCGGGUUGUAAAGCACUUUUGUCCGGAAAGAAAUCCUCUGGGUUAAUACCUCGGGGGGAUGACGGUACCGGAAGAAUAAGCACCGGCUAACUACGUGCCGGCAGCCGCGGUAAUACGUAGGGUGCAAGCGUUAAUCGGAAUUACUGGGCGUAAAGCGUGCGCAGGCGGUUUUGUAAGACGGAUGUGAAAUCCCCGGGCUUAACCUGGGAACUGCAUUCGUGACUGCAAGGCUAGAGUAUGGCAGAGGGGGGUAGAAUUCCACGUGUAGCAGUGAAAUGCGUAGAGAUGUUGAGGAAAACCGAUGGCGAAGGCAGCCCCCUGGGCCAAUACUGACGCUCAUGCACGAAAGCGUGGGGAGCAAACA